AUCCUCAAAUGUAAACUCAAUUUGCCUCCCUACCUCACACAAGAAGCCAGAGAUCUGCUUAAAAAGCUGCUGAAAACAAAUGCUGCUUCUCGUCUGGGAGCUGGUCCUGGGGACGCUGGAGAAGUUCAGGCUCAUCCAUUCUUUAGACACAUUAACUAGGAAGAACUUCUGGUUCGAAAGAUGGAGCCCCCCUUUAAACAUCUGUUGGUAAGUGUACUUGAAAGUGCACUUUGGGUGCAGUGGCUCACGCCCGUAAUCCUAAAACUUUAAAGGGCCGAGGUGGGAGGAUUGUUUGAAGCCAGGAGUUCAGGACCACCAUGGGCAACAUAACAAGACUCCAUCUCUACAAACCUGGGUGUGGUGCCAUGUACC
This 372-nucleotide long non-coding RNA is filed under the name Cercocebus atys (sooty mangabey). Its description in RNAcentral is "lncRNA (ENSCATG00000045795.1)". The record is from RNAcentral. Lineage: Eukaryota; Metazoa; Chordata; Mammalia; Primates; Cercopithecidae.